GUGUAUGUGUGUGGGGGUACGAUUGAGAGAGAGACCAGGGAGAAACCCUUCUCCUCAAAACCUAGCAAGAAAUCAUCAAAUUGAAGGGCAAUAGGGCUGAAAUCUUAUGCAUGAGUUAAGAACUAAGAUCACCUAAGUGUUCUUGACAUCAAAAAGUUAAAUGCGAAAUUGUAGGCGUAAAGGAGGAAGGUACAAGCCUAACCGGUUCACAAGCAACGCAAAACAAAGGUGAAUCUCACUCUUGAUAAUGGCGAGCUUGGAUCGAACACACCACAUCGUUCUUUAUGCGCUUCCGGUUUAGUCGUCUUUGUAGAUGGGUCAAAACACUUUCAUAAUGUAAAUGUUAAGUUUAUGUCUAAGAUGUUUCGUAAGUAAAUUAGGAUUUUAAAUCUUAUUUUUGGUAGUUCGGACAAAACAUUUUUGAUGGAAUCUUGUAUGGUUACAACUUAUGUGUCUUUUGAAACGUGUUAUAGAAUUUUAAUUUGAAUGGUGAUUGUUAAAAACAGGGAAUUGCAUAUAGUACGAACGGGUCAUGCCCUUUUUUGUUAAAAAUUAGUAUGUGGUUACUAUUAUUUUCGAAUGUGAAAAAGUGGGCGUUACAUUUGUUUGUUUUCUUAUAGUUAUCUUCUGCACCAAAAGGUCAACUCGGACCCAAGAAGGUUGACAAUACUGUCCCCAGCUCUGUGCCAAAUGAUGUUGAUGAUCUUGAAAAGAGAUUUGCUUCUCUUCGACGCAUUGGAUAUGUGAGACAUUGCAUCCUGACGAGGACCAGAAGUCUUUUGUGUAUAGUCUUGUAUCGUCUUUAUAAAUGUUAGUAGGGCUCAGAAUCAUUUAUCUCUUGGCGAUUCGAGUGAUUUUGUGAAGGUUCAAGAGGCAAUUUAAUUAGUUUUUGUCUAAUUGAUCAAUGUUAACUUCUUUUGAUUAUGAGUUCCUACAUUUAGGGUUUAAUAUUUUAAACGAAGUUUCACUUCGGUGAUUCAAUGUUCUUAAGUUUAGUGUUUGAUAUGUUAAAACGAAGUUUGAUUUUGGU
RNAcentral lists this long non-coding RNA (1030 nucleotides) under Helianthus annuus (common sunflower). Its description in RNAcentral is "hypothetical non coding rna". Lineage: Eukaryota; Viridiplantae; Streptophyta; Magnoliopsida; Asterales; Asteraceae. The record is from RNAcentral.